Alosa sapidissima (American shad) is the source of this 89-nucleotide long non-coding RNA. RefSeq lists it as uncharacterized. The record is from RefSeq and is a predicted model, not a curated record. NCBI's taxonomy places the organism in Eukaryota, Metazoa, Chordata, Actinopteri, Clupeiformes, Clupeidae. The transcript is spliced from 3 exons.
AAUUUGGAUUAUGCCAUGAUAUAUGCUUAUCUUCUAAUCCAAAUAAAGAAUUUAAAUGUGUGUGUGUGAGCAUGUGUGUGUGUGUGUGU